ACAGAGGCGGCAAGCGUUGUUCGGAAUUAUUGGGCGUAAAGAGCAUGUAGGCGGCUAUGUAAGUCGGUUGUGAAAGCCUUCCGCUUAACGGAAGAAUGGCGGUCGAAACUGCAUGGCUUGAGUGCGGGAGGGGAGAGUGGAACUUCUGGUGUAGCGGUGGAAUGCGUAGAGAUCGGGAGGAACAUCGGUGGCGAAGGCGGCCAGCUGGGCCGUUGCUGACGCUGAGUGUGCGAAAGCUAGGGGAGCAAACGG
RNAcentral lists this ribosomal RNA (252 nucleotides) under uncultured prokaryote. Its description in RNAcentral is "partial 16S ribosomal RNA". It matches the Rfam family "Bacterial small subunit ribosomal RNA", at positions 525 to 775 of the family's 1533-position model. The record is from RNAcentral.